UCCGUAGGCGGUGUGGCAAGUCGGUAGUGAAAUCUCUCGGCUUAACUGAGAGGCUGCUGCCGAAACUGCCAUGCUCGAGUGCGAGAGAGGCGAGUGGAAUUACGGGUGUAGCGGUGAAAUGCGUAGAUAUCCGUAGGAACAUCCGAGGCGAAAGCGGCUCGCUGGAUCGCAACUGACGCUGAGGGACGAAAGCUAGGGGAGCAAACAGGAUUAGAUACCCUGGUAGUCCUAGCCCUAAACCAUCAGGACUUGGGGUUUGCCCCGUACGGGGCAAGUCCCGGAGCUAACGCGUUAAGUCCUGCGCCUGGGGAGUACGGUCGCAAGGCUGAA
This 330-nucleotide ribosomal RNA is filed under the name uncultured bacterium. RNAcentral's name for it is "bacterial SSU rRNA". It matches the Rfam family "Bacterial small subunit ribosomal RNA", at positions 568 to 898 of the family's 1533-position model. The record is from RNAcentral.